Molecule: long non-coding RNA, 3173 nt
Organism: Oncorhynchus tshawytscha (Chinook salmon)
Lineage: Eukaryota; Metazoa; Chordata; Actinopteri; Salmoniformes; Salmonidae
Source: Ensembl
UUCUACUUCACAUCACUGGGCCUUACUGUCUGGCUACUGGAUGGAGUGGAGAGGGAGAGGGAGUCAAAGAGGGUCAUUUAAGGUCUUUAUCAAUCUAUCUCUCUUUUAUAGAGGAGAGGAAUGGAGUAAUAUUGUGAAGCAGGACAAGCCAGCAGCAAGGACCUGAGCCCUAGGACCAUGCCUCAGGACUACCUGGCCUGACGACUCCUGGUUGUCCCCAUCCCCAAUCCAUCUGGUCGUGCUGCAGUUUUGCCUGUGGCUAUGGAUCCCUGACCUGUUCACUAGACGUGCUACCUUGUCAUGCUGCUGCUCAAGUUUCAACUGUUCUGCCUGUGGCUAUGGAACCCUGACGUGUUCACCGGACGUGCUACCUGUCCCAGACCUGGUGUUUUCGACCUUCCCUCUCCCUCUCUCUCUCUCUCUCUCUCCCACCCACUCUACUGCACCUGCUGUCUUGACCUCUGAGUGCUCGACUAUGAAAAGCGAACUGACAUUUACUCCUGAGGUGCUGACCUGUUGCACCCUCUACAACCACUGUGAUUAUUAUUUGACCCUGCUGGUCAUCUAUGAAUGUUUGAACAUCUUGAAGAACGAUCUGUCCUUAAUGGCCAUGUACUCUCAAUCUCCACCUGGCACAGCCAGAAGAGGACUGGCCACCCCUUCAUAGGUUCCUGCCUUUCUAGGGAGUUUUUCCUAGCCACUGUACAUCUACAUCUGCAUCUGUAUUGCUUGAUGAUUGGGGUUUUAUGUUGGGCUUCUGUAUAAGCACUUUGUGAGAUCUGCUGAUGUAAAUACAUUUGAUUUGAUUUAAUCUCAAAUGGCACCCUAUUCCCUUCAUCACAACUGUUGACCAGGGCUCUGGUCGCUGUACUAAACAAACACACAUACAAAUAAACAGACCACUAAACUCCCCUAAGUAGUACGAGUAAACCCCUCCAAAUCCACCCUGAGCCAGUGGAGGAUGUAAAGAACAGAUGGACCUUUACUGGGGGGAGGGGCUGGUCCAACUCAAGGUGUUAUAAAAAAAUGCAUCCCCCUCCCCAAAGUUGCAAAUAUUUUCACAUGACUCUCCCGUUGUACUGUAAAAUAAAUUGAACAACCUCCCCCUCACAGAAUGAACUCUAAAUAAUGUUUACAACCACAAAUAACAAUAACUGUAGCGACCCUGUUUUUAUAAACAUGGAUAUUGACUGUGCCACUUCAGCAUGCUUUUGUGGCACAGUUGAUGCCACACAUCAUGGGCUAGAAGGUUGAGGGUUUGCCGACCACCACAGGCGAGCUCACUCUCCUUGACUGUGUCAUUACGCUACGAUCAGAGAUUUUCCACCAACAGGUUUCUGUGCCGAUGCACCACACAACCAAUAAACAAAGCACACUGACUUUGGGUACUUUAAUAUCAUGGUUUGAGUUUUCAACAGAACAAUAAAUAGACGAUGUCAAUCUCAACAAACAGAAAAUACAUCCCUCCCUACCUUGUAGGUUCACCCAGUAUCCAAAUGUCAUUCACAUUUUUGGUGUUUUGGAACUGAAGUCUCUUUCCAUUCAUCAAUUUAAAAAAGACAUUCACAAUGAUUAUUUAAAGUGACCAAGAUUGCACAAUAAAGUCGGGGAAUUAUUUCCAUUUUGGUUCCAAUUUUUUGGGGACAUAAAUACAUAUACAAUUACAUAGAUACAGACACAUUGCAGAGAUUGAGACGGAAAAAAAAAUGCUCAUCAUCCAGAUGAGUAUGAGGGGGGAGUUUAAGUACAAUUCUUACAAGCUUGUUUUGGCUGGUCUGUAGCUUAUUCUAUGGAUGUUUGGGGCUGCUGGUGAACCAUGAUGUGCAGCAUAAUCAAAGAGACACGAGUCUAGCGCACUUGCCAGAGUCUUUAGGUGGUCUAGCUAGGUUUCAAUCCAAUUGGCGACACAUUUUCAUGUGAAUAUUCAAAAAUCUUCAUAAAAACAAUAGGCCAUUUUAGAGUUUCCUUUAGGAAAAUGUGGACAACAUGCCAGGGAAGAUUCUAAUUUACCAGGCAUUUGAGACAUUUAAUGGACAUCCAUAUGCAUUCAGAUCCAACUAGGCACCAUCAAAAAUCGAGGGAUGUUGGCCAAAUCAGCCAUAUUUACGUGUCCUUAAAAACAGUCUAUAACAAAUGACAUAAACACUAUCCCUUGUGUUUCUAUGUGUAGAAUACGCAAAACGUUAUUGGCCAUUUCUUUGUAGAUUUUUUGGCUACUUUCCUAAAACUAUAAUUGUCCAACUCACAGUUCAGCUGUCAGAGAUUUGAGCACUAAAUGUAUCAGGGCACUGCAUGCAAAGGCCUUAAGGCUUACAGUUGGUGUCCACUGUGUGAUAUGAACAUUUUAAUAAAUAUAUAUAGCCUAUAUAAAGGAAGAGAAGCUUCAGCCUAACCCCAGAGAGAGAGAUAUCUUGGAACGGUGGCUUGGUACAACACAGACAAGCAUUUAUUUAUGUCAGAUGGCUACUGCGUCUGCUGUACAGAUAUAGAUGUAAGGAGGGUAAUUCAUACAUUUUCCAUCAAAAUAUUUUGUAUGAAGAUAAACAUUAUAUUGUUAGAUUAUAGGAGUAACUCUGGUAGGCCUGAAACAGUCUUCCUCACCUCAAUUUCAAUUGUCAGAAUCAGUUGGAGCACGGGGCACUCUGCCUUCAUAUCAUAGGCCUGCAGUAGCUACCAAACCUUCACAAACGUUUCCAAACUUUAUUAGGCUAAUAUCGAAAGUAAGUCAAGCCAUAGUUCAUAGUGAAAAUACAAGCAGAAGAGCGGAUGUAAACAAGUGUCACGCCCUGACCUUAGUAUUCUUUGUUUUCUUUAUUAUUUUGGUUAGGUCAGGGUGUGACAUGGGUGAUAUGUGUGUUUUUGUCUUAUUCUAGGGUGUUUGUACUGUCUAGGGUUUUUUGUAGAUUUAUGGGGUUGUUUUCAUCUAGGUGUUUAUGUUGGUCUAUGGUUGCCUAGAUUGGUUCUCAAUUAGAGGCAGGUGUUUAUCGUUGUCUCUGAUUGGGAACCAUAUUUAGGCAGUCAUCUUCUUUGGGUAUUUCGUGGGUUAUUGUCUAUGUUAUGUUGCACGUUAGCACAUUGUUUAUAUAGCGGUCACGUUCGUCUUAUUCGUUUUUGUUGUUUUUGUUUAAGUGUUCUUCGUGUUCUUCAUUAAUAAAGAAUGUAUUCUAACCAUG